Molecule: long non-coding RNA, 749 nt
Organism: Meriones unguiculatus (Mongolian gerbil)
Lineage: Eukaryota; Metazoa; Chordata; Mammalia; Rodentia; Muridae
Exons: 3
Source: RefSeq, a predicted model, not a curated record
UGGGGCACAGGUAUUUGAGGCUUCCGCCCCUGUAGACAAUUCUGGUGUUUCUAUUCUUUUCUUGUACAGUUGGUGUAAAAAGGGCUAGAAAAGUAUAACACCAUGCAUAUUCAUUGAAAAAUAAAAAUAGACUUCUUAGAUAUGUUCUCCUUUUGUCUGGGUCUGACUGCACACUGCUGUCAGACUCUUUCUCUUCACAGCUCAUCAUAUAGUGAAGAAGGAGCUGGCCUCUCCAUCAGAGUAGGUCUGGACUCCCAUGCUGGACAGGCCAGGUCCAACAGCAGAUGGCACUAUUCCAGUGACCCAUAUCACUGGCUUACUUCUUAAUGUGAUCUUUCAAUGGGGUUCUGCACUUCAGAGAAUGUGAGCUGGCCCGAAGAUUUCUCGCCCCUAAAUCCUCAGGGGCUCCAGAGGCCAUUCAACAUGAGAAGUUGAAUAGGCCUUUGACCUAAAACUCUUGCCCGUCUUUAACAGCAGCUUCAGUGUUUCUCGGUUAUUUCAUCGGCAACAACUCCCUCUUCUUAACGAAGGCAUGAAUGAAGUCCAGUUGAUCCUCCUUUCUCUCUCUCCUCCCAUUUGUGGGGCCUGUCUCUUCCAUCACGCAGGAAGGUCUCAUUGCACCUGGAGCUCACUGACUGCUGGACUACCUAUCCUCCUGUCUCCACUCUCUUAGCAAUGAGAUGGUCUCUGUUGGAACUGCCUGCUGCUGUGUGAAAGGUAGCACCACACAGGAAAACCCGAAACAAACG